This 217-nucleotide unclassified non-coding RNA is filed under the name soil metagenome. RNAcentral describes it as "partial contains small subunit ribosomal RNA, internal transcribed spacer 1, and 5.8S ribosomal RNA". The record is from RNAcentral.
UCUCCGUUGGUGAACCAGCGGAGGGAUCAUUAGCGAGUUCUAAACUCCCAACCCUCGUGGACAUACCUACCGUUGCUUCGGCGGGGCGCCCUGAAACGGGGCGCUGCUCCUCUGUGGGCACCCGCCGGCGGCACGCAAACCAAACUCUGCAUUCUGGUUGAAUUCUGAGUGGACUAUAAAUAAGUCAAAACUUUCAGCAACGGAUCUCUUGGUUCUG